Long non-coding RNA from Gossypium arboreum, 4355 nucleotides. RefSeq lists it as uncharacterized. The transcript is spliced from 3 exons. The record is from RefSeq and is a predicted model, not a curated record. NCBI's taxonomy places the organism in Eukaryota, Viridiplantae, Streptophyta, Magnoliopsida, Malvales, Malvaceae.
UAUUGUUUAGUAGUAUACAAAUGUGUCACUAGAAUUCUAAUUAAAAGGAUCACUCCUUUUCUCCCUGAUUUCAUCUCCCUUAGUUCGAGCGCUUUCAUACAAGGAAAACACAUUAUUGACCAUACCUUAUUAGCUCAGGAGAUUGUUAGAGGUUAUAGCAGGAAGAACUUGCCCCCCAGGUGCAUCUGUAAAAAGCUUUCGACACACUUAAUAAGGGUUGUGCUUGAUAUUCUGACUACCACGAGAUUUCUUGAUAUUUUUGUAGGGUGGAUACAAGCAUGCAUCACUACUUCAAGUUUUUCAAUCUCUCUAAAUGGUUGUUUGGUAGAGUUUUUUAGGGGCGCUAGAGGCAUUAAGCAAGGGUACCCUCUGUCUGGCCCACCGAUAGUUGUGCACCUCCUCUGAUUUUGCUCAAUAUCGAAAUUGGAAGGAAUUGGAGAAGUUUUUUUUACCAAAAUUCUAUAAACACCAAAAACUCAGAUGCAUGACCCUAUGCGUUCCUUAACGAACUAUCCGUUCACAUCGUCAAUUCUAAUUUUAAGCCUAAAGCUCCAUCUCACCUUCUAAUACGACGUCGUCUCCCUCCCUUUGACCGCCACCUCACCGUAUCCCUUUACUCUCAUAACCACCACCAGGAUGCUCGCCUACGCUCCGUGGAAUAUUCCAUGGUUUUACACGCCGUUUUACUCACUCCUUUCCUCGCCGCCGCUGGCUCUUGCCUCCAACAGUCUCCGUAUUCGCUGGCAUCCGCCUCCGUCUAAGGUUGUGGAAUAGGAAGUAGCGGUGUCGACGAGGAAGCGAGGGCCGUUUGCUUUGGCUAUUGAAGCUUUUCCUUCCGACAUACAAAACCAAUUCAAUCAGUUGGUGCAUAAAAGGAUAGAUGGGGAGGACUUGGAAAUCUUAUGUUUCACAUUGGCCAGCUCAAAGGUGGCAGGAGUAAUAGCCCAUUUUCAAUUAUUGUCGCGAUAAUCAAGUUCGCCUUGUUACUUGUGGAACUCCAUUAAAGGUACUCUACAUUGUCAGUUAUUCUACGUCCAUCCUCGUUCCACUAACCAUGUCAUCAUCCUUUUCGUGUUAUCAUGUUGGUCUAUCACCCUGUAGAGUUUGUUGAAAACUGAUGAUUAAUGUAAUUUCACCUAUUUUUGGUUCUAAACGGUUAGAACGUCUUGUCAGUUUAUUGUGAUAGAUCCUAUUGGUUUCUAUUAUGUUCAUAAGACUCGGUUUUCAAAUUUGGGUAUACUACUUGCAUGUUUUAAGUUUGAAUUUUGGGGAUGGGAAGGGUUUUCUCUGCAGUCUUCAAUAGUGUAAUCCAAGAUAUUUGUGAUCUCAUAGGUAAAAUGAAAGGAAUAAGACUAAAAUUUAAAUUUUUUUUUCUGUUUUAGUUCAUAUGAUGUUACCAUUCUAUCAUCUUAGCUUGUGCACAAGGCCAUAUAGUGAAUAUGGUAUAUCCUAAUUAUUUUAAUAAUGAUCCUGAGGACUAUGCAAGUUGAAGUAUUCAUGGUCUCUCUAAGGCUGUGUGUAAGGUAUACAUGCUCCUCCAGAUGGUUCAGGCUUUAGUUCUAUUUCAUGCAGAUCAUCAAUGGGUAAUCAUUUUCUGACUCAACUGAUUCCAUUUGGUCCAAGUUCAUAUUUAUCUGCACAAGCAAGAGUGGUUGAGGAAUAUAACAUGUCCUAAAAUUAUUGUAAAAGAAGUUGCAGAUAGGGUAGGCUCUGGUUUGUUAAUAGUUGUGACAGGUGCAAUUUGGUUCUAGAGGGACAGGGGCGCCUGCCAGGAUUUCAAUGAAGAUUCAGAAGAAGAACCAAGUGGUUAUUCUCCUUUUUUUUUUUUUGAUAAGUCAAGUGGUUAUACUCCUUAAUCCUGAAAGGCAGUACAUAGGAAGAGGAGAGGUCGCUGUUGCUAAUUAAGUGUGGUAUUCCGCUGCCAGACCAUGCAGUAGAAAGUUGUUUUAAUCAUACUGAAAUUGCUCGAGUUAUGAAUGCAGCUGGCAGGCAGGCAGCGAGAUGCUCUACCGGAGGACCUUCAUAUGGGGCUUGACCUUCAGAGGUACCGUACAACUUUUUUGAUGUGGAGCAAUAUCCUCUUAUUUCAUAGCUCACCCAUCGGUUCCAGGUAUAUUUACUUUCUAGAAAUGAAAUUUAUUGCAAUUAUGUUUAUUAUUGUAGAUUAAUGUCUAUCAUAGUUUCAUAAAAUUGCACCUCUUGUGCGGAUAAUAAGCCAUAUGCAAUUUGAAAAAGAAAAAAUUCUUCGGAGAAAUUGUCCAAAGAUUGUCCAAGUUGAACAUUGCCCCUCUUGUUUGCAUUUCCUUAGGAUUAUUAAUCUUAAUGUUCAAUAUUAUAUUUAGAUCCUUUAGAUCAUGUCAUGUUAUUGCAAGAUCAUCAUAACUUGAUAGAAUUUAUCUAAAUGGAGAAGGAACAACAUAAUCCUUUUGAGACCUUUUCUCGAAAACAAGUUGUGUUGGCUUAAGAACUCUUGCAUAUUAAUUUUCUCAAGGUAGGUUUUUCUCAAGGUAGAUUUUGGCAUCAAGAACAUUGCCUUGUGAGGUCACUUUUAUAUUUUGCAUUCAUAAUGACAGUCUAGCAAUGCAUUUAAAGAAUAGAAUUGGAGAAAAAUAAUGAAUCUACUGAGUUGAUAAUUACUAGAAGGUUUUUGUUAGCGUAAAGUCCAUGCCAAUCCAUCAUCAGACCGAGCUAAGACUUUGUUGUUCGCUCAUCUUCUUAAGCAGCCUCUGCUUGACCUUUUCAAAAGACUGCUCUAGGUUCAUCAGCUGCAUCAUUGUAGAAAGCAUUAGUGUUCCUAAACUAAUUGAUAGUAAGAUUGGAUGCUUGCUUUCGGCUACAUGGAUAGCUACCUACGUACCUCUUGUUGAGCAAACCUGUUAUGGAUGAAUAACCCACUGAACAGAUCGAAACUAUCAUUGGUAGUGCUCUCCUUCUGCAAUCAUUAUCAUAUUAAUGCAUCUCCUUUUUGAGAAUGUUGAAGAAGCUAAAUGAAAAUUGCAUUAAUUUAAGACAUCUUAUUGAGCUUACCAAUUUAACAAGUGUUUCGAAGCUUUUGGUGUUCAUGGAUGUGGAUUCAAUUCCCAUUUCCGCCAAAAUCCUAUCAAAGUAAGAUGCAAAAAUUUUUAUCACAAGCAGUCUCCCCAUUGUAGUUGGUUUACCCGAUGAACCAGCAUUGAAAUAAGAUAAAGAUGAGUAAAACAUACCUGCCGAUUGAAUGGGAAAGAAAUUGACUUCUAGCGGCAACUUUGUCAUGUUCUUCACAAGACAUUUCCACCAUUCUGCAACCCUUUUCCAAUAUAUUCUCUAAUUAACCAAUGCAUCCACUCUGUAAAUUGCAUUAAUUCCGAGCAUUUGAUUUAGAUUACCUCAGAUUCAAAGAUGUGUAGGAAGCUGGAGCACCUAGUUUCAUCCCUCACCCGAACUUUCUCAUACACUAAAGGAAGAUCUUUCCACCCAUUUUUCCCACUUUCAGGUCCAAACAUUGGAUGAGUGCAGAGCACGUCCAUAUUCUCUGGCAAAACCUGAAAAAAAAAAAAAACACCAUUUUCAACCUGGACAAAAGAAAUAUGAUCAAGGGGGUUGAAGCAAAAUCAUAAUAUCAUACUUGCAAUAAAACGUUUCUUGGGUGUUCUUUGACCGAGAGCACAUCGACAAACAACGUGUGGCGUUUGAGGCGACGUAAUGGCAUUGAGUUGAGUACCUCCGAUAGAGAUAGGAUUGACGUGCAUAUCAAUAUCACAUCAUUAUCUGCUUCAAGAAAUGGAAUUACGUCCCUAAAAAUGCAGAAACAAGGGUUUCACAAAAGAAUCAAUGUGUAGUGUUGGCUUUGCGUUUAAUUGAAGUUGAGAGUAGGAUCUACCUGAAGAAGGGAACAUCCAAUUGAUGACAAAGCUGGGAAUAAUCUGUCCGAGAAGUUGCCCUUGUAGUAUGGCCUUGCUUGAUCAUUGUCUUCGCCAGGAACUGCCCAAAUGUACCAAAACCAACGAUGCCUACUUUCAGAGUUUGCGGAGGCAAGGAAGACGACGACGACGACGACGACGACGACGACGAAGACGACGACGACGACGACAUGGCAGACGAAAACUCAGCAAAGAAAGAUGGAGGGUUAUACAGAUUUGGAUGUGUUGAUGUGUUAUUAAGUCAAGAGCUGUGCUUUAGUAGGGAUAUUAAUCGAAACUUUGGCAGAGGCGGCACGUUGAUUCCCCGCUGUUCUAUCUUACCCGUCUCUCUGACAAAAAUGUAAAAUAUCCUAUAUAUAUUGUCCUUACUUGUCCUCAGUUUUGGUACUUAAAUCUUUUGUUUAUACUUAACUGAUUUGUGAUUUUAAAUUUUGUCAUGUGAAAAUUUUAUAUAAA